CGUUAAGUCAAAGUCAAAUGGAUAUCUCUAGAGUGGCCACUGCUGCAGCUAAUUUUGCUAAAAGAAGGCAAGGAAUUUAGUAGUUACUACUUGGGUAAUUCGGGCAACCUCAGGGUGGCCCAGGUAAAGUUUAGAGCAUGAGGACAACCUGCAUGCUGUUAUACGAGGAAUACUUUGAAGAACAAAGUUUCAUCAUGCUGUUUUUGCAGGGAUGGAGGCAUCUCUCCUUUGUAAAAUGAAGCAAGGACUCAGAAGACAAGCUGUUAAAAAGACAUUUUCUCAAAUACUGAGUACACACUUUGCCUGGGAACCACAGUAGCUGCGGCCCCAGCUGACAGACACCAGUGGCCUAUGCAAUGGGAACAAAGGCUGGAAA
Molecule: long non-coding RNA, 376 nt
Organism: Ailuropoda melanoleuca (giant panda)
Lineage: Eukaryota; Metazoa; Chordata; Mammalia; Carnivora; Ursidae
Exons: 3
Source: RefSeq, a predicted model, not a curated record